AUUGAACGCUGGCGGCAGGCCUAACACAUGCAAGUCGAGCGGAUGAAGGGAGCUUGCUCCUGGAUUCAGCGGCGGACGGGUGAGUAAUGCCUAGGAAUCUGCCUGGUAGUGGGGGAUAACGUCCGGAAACGGGCGCUAAUACCGCAUACGUCCUGAGGGAGAAAGUGGGGGAUCUUCGGACCUCACGCUAUCAGAUGAGCCUAGGUCGGAUUAGCUAGUUGGUGGGGUAAAGGCCUACCAAGGCGACGAUCCGUAACUGGUCUGAGAGGAUGAUCAGUCACACUGGAACUGAGACACGGUCCAGACCCCUACGGGAGGCAGCAGUGGGGAAUAUUGGACAAUGGGCGAAAGCCUGAUCCAGCCAUGCCGAGUGUGUGAAGAAGGUCUUCGGAUUGUAAAGCACUUUAAGUUGGGAGGAAGGGCAGUAAGUUAAUACCUUGCUGUUUUGACGUUACCAACAGAAUAAGCACCGGCUAACUUCGUG
Molecule: ribosomal RNA, 484 nt
Filed under: uncultured bacterium
Lineage: Bacteria
Description: partial 16S ribosomal RNA
Rfam family: Bacterial small subunit ribosomal RNA
Source: RNAcentral